RNAcentral lists this ribosomal RNA (400 nucleotides) under Candidatus Bathyarchaeota archaeon. RNAcentral's name for it is "bacterial SSU rRNA". It matches the Rfam family "Archaeal small subunit ribosomal RNA", at positions 279 to 681 of the family's 1478-position model. The record is from RNAcentral. Lineage: Archaea; Thermoproteati; Candidatus Bathyarchaeota.
GGAGCGGGAGCCCGGAGAUGGGUACUGAGACAAGGACCCAGGCCCUACGGGGCGCAGCAGUCGCGAAAACUUUGCAAUAAGCGCAAGCUUGACAGGGCUAUCCCGAGUGCCAUCCGCUGAGGAAGGCUUUUACCCAGUCUAGAACGCUGGGGGAAUAAGGAGAGGGCAAGUCUGGUGUCAGCCGCCGCGGUAAUACCAGCUCUCCGAGUGGUGUGGAUGUUUAUUGGGCCUAAAGCAUCCGUAGCUGGCUAGGUCAGUCCCUUGUUAAAUCCACCGAAUUAAUCGUUGGAUUGCGGGGGAUACUGCUUGGCUAGGGGACGAGAGAGGCAGACGGUAUUUUCGGGGUAGGGGUGAAAUCCUAUAAUCCCGGGAAGACCACCAGUGGCGAAGGCUGUCUGCU